UAGUAGAAGUAUUUAUGUAUACGUGGCCAGCAGAAUUUUUGAUGCGUACGAACUAUGAGGUCGGACAUGUAGCAUUCAAUUUACUC
Long non-coding RNA from Vollenhovia emeryi, 86 nucleotides. RefSeq lists it as uncharacterized. The transcript is spliced from 2 exons. The record is from RefSeq and is a predicted model, not a curated record. NCBI's taxonomy places the organism in Eukaryota, Metazoa, Arthropoda, Insecta, Hymenoptera, Formicidae.